GCCUACGGGUGGCCGGGCGGGAUGUAACCGGCUGCUGAGCUGGCAGUUCUGUGUCGCUAGGCUUCUGCCCGGCCGCCGCCGCACAUAAGCUGCGAGGAGGAGCUUUACGACUUCCCGGUCUUCGGGGCCGGGCGCAGCAAGGGCCAGACUCUGCGCUAGCAGGCGCUGCGCGCCAACCGGCCGGCACCUGUCGCAGAAGGUGCAACCGAUCGCACUGUCGCGCAGAAGCUCCUCAAUGGCCAGCGCCAGCUGCAGCCCCGGCCGCCCACUCGCCUCAUCUGAGCCUGGGUACGUGCGCCCCACAACGCCUCCCCCAGCCAGGGCCCGGGGAUCCCCGGGAGCGUCCCCGGCUACCUGGCGCCGCUCAUCCUGGGUAGGGUCGGCCCCCUCUGAGGCUGCCUGGCAUGAGGGAGCUGCACCCCUGAGCUUGACCUCUGACGGCCCUUUGUAAUAGCAUUAAGUCUUUGAAACUUUGUAGCGGGGUAGAAGGGGCUAGGAAAUGAAGAAAACAUCUUUUUAAAAAUAUAAGCAGUCGGCUGGGCGAGGUGGCCCACGCCUGUAAUCCCAGCACUUUGGGAGGUCGAGGCAGGUGGAUCACGAGGACAGGAGUUCAAAACCAGCCUGGCCAGCAUGGUUUCACUGAAACCCCGUCUCUACUAAAAACACAAAAAUUAGUCGGGCGUGGUGGCUGGUGCCUGUAAUCCCAGCUACCCGGGAGGCUGAGGCAGAGAAUUGUUUGAACCCGGGAUGCGGAGGUUGCAGUGAGCGGAGAUCGCGCCACUGCACUCCAGCCUGGGCAACAGACCAAGACUCCGUCUAAACAAACAAAUAUAUGUGUGUAUAUAUAUGCGAUCGAGCCCGGGAGGUUGAGAUUACAGUGAGCUGAGAUUAUAUAAGCGAUCGAGCACUGGAGGUUGAUGUUACAGUGAGCUGAGAUUGCGCCAUUGCACUCCAGCCUGUGUAACAGAGGGAGACUCUGUCUCUAAAAAAUUAUAUGCAAGUGAGAGCUUUUCUUCCAGCGCUCAUGCUCAGACUGAAGAAAGUAAUUGGGCCAGGCCCGGUGGCUCACGCCCGUAAUCCCAGCAUUUUGGGAGGCGGAGGCGGAAGCGGGUGGAUCACUUGAGCUCAGGAAUUCCAGACUAGUUUGGGCAACAUGGUGGAAGCCUGUCUCUACAAAAAUACAAAAAAUUAGCUGGGCAUGGUGGCACGCACUUGUAGUCUCCGCUACUUGCCGGGCUUAGGCGGGAGAAUCGCUCAGCUGCAGCCUCGACCUCCAGGGGCAAUCCAUUUCAGCCUCCCAAAGUGCUGAGAUUACAGGAAUGAGCCAUCGUGCCUGGCUUUACACUAUAUUUUAAUACUUUUUUUGAAAAUGGAAACUUUUACAGGCAAUUCACUUCCUUCAAACUAAUGAUAAGGAAGUGAUGCUGUUCUGUUCUGUUUUGUUUUUUGUUUUUGUGGGUUUUUUUUCUUUUUUGAGAUGGGGUCUUGCCCAGGUUGGAGUGAGUUGGUGCAAACAAGGCUCACUGCAGCCUUGACCUUCGGGCUCAAGGAAUCCUUCCCUGUCAGCCUCCCCGGUAGCUAGGACUACAGGUGCAUGCUACCACGCUUGGCUAAUUCUUUUUUUGAAAUGGAGUCUCACUCUGUCUCCCAGGCUGGAGUGCAGUGGUGCAAUCUCGGCUCACUGCAGGCUGGUCUCAACCUCUGACUUCGGCUGGUCCACCCACUUCUGCAUCCCAAAGUGCUGGGAUUACAAGUGUGACCCACCGCGCCUGGCGAUUUUGCUCAUUUUAGAUACUAGAACUUUUUAAUUUAAAUUUUUUUUUUCCUGAGAUGGAGUCUUACUUUGUCUCCAGGCUGGAGUGUAGUGGCGUAAUCUCGGCUCACUGCAACCUCCGCCUCCUGAGUUCAAGCGAUUCUCCUGCCUCAGCCUGCCAGAGUUGCUGGGACUACAGGUGCGCACCACCACACCCAGGAGUUCAAGGCUGCAGUGAGCCAUGAUCGUACCACUGCACUCCAGCCUGGGCAACACAGCGAGACCCUGACUCCACAAAUAAAUAAAUCAACAUCAUAUGAUCUGUACCAGGGUAUAGGCAGGUGCUAUGAUCCCCACUUUUCAUCCUCAACUCUAAGUUGAGUCAUACAUCAACCUCUAGUAAAAAGUGGCAUGCUCUCAGUCAAAGGGGUAAGCCCAAACCACGCGGAGAGAAUCUUAUCUCUUUUGAGAGCUAAUAUAAAAAGAAUUCCUCCUAGGCAUAAAAAUAUUGUGACACCAGUUACUUAGGCUAAACAUGCCUAUUAUGCUAAGUGAGUUAUUAACAAUAAAUACUUUAACUCUGUGCCAUGUUAAUUAUCAUAAUCUGAUUUAUAAUUUGUUUUAACCUUAGGUUAUAUAUACCUUGAAGCCAUUUAUAUUUUGGUAUACUUGUAAUAAUUACUAUACACCGGACUAUGUAUAUUGGACUAAACACGGAGAGUCAAAAAAGAGUAUGUGGUCAGAGUAGAAAUCAUGCCCUAGCUUCCUUCGUGUCUACCUCCUACCUUGAGUAGAAGUGGUAGAAAAAGUAAUUACCUAAGAUUUUUUGGAUUCUGGUUUGUGGAGAAGCACCCUUAUAUUUAGGCUGAUGGGCGGCAAAAUUAGAAAGUAUUUUUUGUGAUUUAGAAUUUUAUACGGAGAUGUUCAUUGUGAUUAAUUAUUCUUUGUAUUAGCAGAUUUUUGCUUUUUAUAGCUGCAUGAUUUCUUGUUUAUUAUUCAUUCAUUAUUGUCUAUUAAUAAAGAAAAACUUUAUUUCACUGAAGCAGUGAUAUAUAAUCCAACUUGGAUUUUUAAAUAAUGACUGACUUUUUUUCUUUGGGAAUACAUUACUGUUAAAAAUGUAAUUAUUAGAUACAUUACUUUUAAUGAAUAUAAGUGGUAUAAUUAGAAGGCUGAAAAGAAUCCUUGGAAAUGUGAGUUUAAUUUGAUAGCUAAGAAACUGAGGACAAGUUACUUAUUCUUUGUAGCAUAUUUUCUAAUGUCAUUUCAUUGUCUCACCAAGAAAUACUUGCAUAAAGCAAGUUCAAUUACAGCAUCUGUUGAAUAUUUAAGGUUGAGUAAAGUGGGUGAGUUUAACAGAUAUUUUCCCUUAUUUCUUUUAGGCGAAUCUGGAUUGGGAAAGUUGAUAUUAAUCAACUCAUUAUUCCUCACAGAUUUGUAUUCUCCAGAGUAUCCAGGUCCUUCUCAGAGAAUUAAAAAGCCUGUACAGGUCUACAUAUUGGUAUUUUUAAUUGAUGAUAAGCUGGAAUAAUAUUAAUACACACAAAGCACGUGUUGUAACUUUCAUUAUGCUUCCCUAGAGGUAAGAUGCAAAUUUGCCCUUAGCCAGUGUAAGAUGGUAAAUAUGACUUCAUAAAAUCAAAAAAACAGAGGAAGUACAGUUAAUCGAAAGAAUUAUCUUGACUAGAACUUUCCAAAUUUGUCCUAAGGAUUCUCCUAGAGAUGACACUGUGACAUAGUAACCAAUUCCCCUGGAGUUGUGCUAUGUAGUAUGAUAGUCAUUUGCCACAUGUUUAAAUCAAUUAAAAUUAAUUAAAUUAAAAUGCAAUUUCUCAUUUGCUCCAGAUACAUUUCAAGUGCUCAACAGCCACAUGUGGCAAGUGGCUGCCAUUUUGUGCAGCACAUAUAUGAAGAUUUUCAUCAUUGUAGAAAAUUGCAUUGGACAGUGUAGAGAAAACAUGAUUCAUAGAAAAACUAUUGUUAUUUAAAUAGUGUUCUAUAUUAGUCAGUGGGAUAAUACCAUAUCAUAGUUGAAUGGCAAUAGCAAUUCUGUAAAACUCCCAUGCUAUAUGUGAUCUAAUUUACUGCUUCUCAGUCUUUGCUACGCAUUCCAAUCCUGGGUAUCCUGUUAAAUUUAUUUCUUCUAGUAGUUCUGAGAUGGGCUGCCUUUCUACAUUUCUAACAAGAUCCCAGGUGAUGCUGAUGCCGCUGGAUGGUAGAUCACACUUUAUAAAGCAAGGGGCUAGACUCUAGAUAUGCACUUUUUAUUAAAUAGUACAGCAGCCUGUAGCCACAUGUGGCUAUUAAUCUUUGAAAUGUGGGUAGUCUGAAUUGUGAUGUUCUGCAAAUAUAAAAUAUGCCACAGAUUUCUAAGACUGAGCAUGGAAAAGAAAAUCUCCGUAAUUUUUUAUAUUGAUUGUAUACUGCAGUGAUAAUAUUUUGGAUGUAUCGGGUUAAAUAAAAUUGACUGAUUUCACCUUUUUCCUAUUUUAAAAGUGGCUACUAAGAAAAUUUUAAAUUACUUACAUGACCGACAUGGUAUUUUUAUUUGGCAGCGCUGCUCUAAGCUGUUGAUGAAAAAUAUUGUUGGUGAGCUCUGCUUAGGUAAUAUGUAGGACACGAGCAGAGAGGAGGCACGUGAACAGUUCUGGCUGAAGUAGGCUUCAUUGAGGCCGUGAUGCUUUUAGCUGGAUUUGAAGAAGUGGUAGUGAGCAUCCCAGUGCACAGGAUAGGAGGACAGUCUAUAUAUUCUGAGCAGUAACUCAUAUAUAUCAUACUGCAAGACCCCAAAGGAGUAAUUUUUUGAAGUAAAUAUCUUAUUUCUCCUUUUUAAUGUUUCUAUUUUGGGAAUUUUUUUUUUUUUAGUAACCUUCAUAGGGCUUGAGAUUUAAAAUUACCUGCAAAAUUCUACUCUAAAAACUUGAUCCUACAUGCUUAUUUAUUUUGUGAUAAAUAUUGGAAAUUUUAAACCUAAGCAAGAAAAUGAACUUUGAACUUUCUUAAUUUGGGUAUCUAUUAUGAAUACCUUCACUUAAGUAUUUAUGAAUUUAGAUAUGAAAGGUAAAACUAACCACUAUCCAAAUUAAUAUACAGUUCAUUUCCAGAACCCUAGUUUCUUCCAUGUGCUCACUCGCAUUCAGUAUUACAACCCCCAAAGAUAAACACCUUACUGACUGCCUUCUCCAUAAAUUUGCCUGUUCUUGAACGUUAUAUACGUAUACUUUUUUGUAUCUGUUUUCUUUCAGUGAAGAUUAUGUCUGUAUUAUUUACUCAUGUUGGGUGUAGUUGUUUUUUUCAUCGUCGUAUAAUACUCCAUUGUGUGAAUGUAUAAAGUAUAUCCUUUAUUAUUUAUUGUAGAUAAGCCUUUGGGUUUUCAGUUUUUUACUAACGGGAACAUUCUUGUGCAUGUCUUAGUAGACUUAGGCACUCAUUGCUGUUGUGUGUGCAUAAAGAUAUAAAGGUAUUUGAGUUUAUUUUAUUUGAUUUCUAGUGAGGUUGAACAUGUCUUGUACUCAAUAACUGUUCAGAUUUCAUUAAAGUCUUUUGGUAAUCUUAAUAUUUUCUGUCAUUUUCUUGCUGAUUUAUAGGAGUUUGAAAAAUCUAAUAAUCCCCUACAUUUUAGAUAUUGCAGACAUUUUCUCCCCAGGUGAGCAUCUGUUAAAGAUGUGACAUGCCCUCAAUUUAUUUUAGAAUUCUUACAUUGGCUUAGCUUCAAAAUAAAUUGCCUAAACCCAUUUUACCUUCCUUUAAAGUAACACUUCAAAAAUAUCCUCUUCUGUUGUGAAUAUCUUCCCGGAAACUCUCUUUAUCUUGAAAACAAAGGGGUAAUGGAGGUACUAGAGAAUAUCUCUAGUAGGAUUUUUAAGACAGGCCUGUGCACCACUGUUAAAUAUCUUUUCUGUACCAAAAAGAAGACCUGUAACAUUUGAGAACCAGAUUGAUCCUUAGUAGAAUCCUGUAGAAGUCCUCUUUCCUGAUUGAACCAUAGAGGUGUAUUCCUUUAUAUACUGAAAACUAGCUGAAGAUAAUCUAAACUCUUGUGCCCAGUUAGGAAAGAACAUGCCAUAUUAUGGACAGGGUCAGAGUCAUUCAAGAAGCCUGAAUAUAGUUAGAAAAUGAGAAUGUAAUCUUUUUAAUAGUUGGCUGGCUCUUUACCAAGCCCAGUAGUCUUGAAGAUAUAGGGGAAAUAGUGUAAACGGUUGUCAAGAUGAAUCUAAAAUGGAAAUUAAUCAGUUCCCUAGAAUAGAUUGAGAAAUUAGCUUUAGGAAAAAGAUAAAUUUCACACACACUGUACCAUGGAAGGUACAGUGCUGAUUCAGACAGACUGGGAAUGGUCUCAUUUUUAAGUGGUGAUGUGAGGUACUUCACUGAGCAUUGUGACAGGCACGGGCUUGGGAAGAGCCUAUUAGGAAAUGGGAGAGGCAUGAGACUAAGGAGCACAUAAGAGUAAUAUUAGCAGAGAAAUUCUUUUUGAGGUUGAAGGUCAUGAAUUUUAUGGUAUAGGAAUAGAAAGAGGGGUUAAUCCAGAAUGGGAUUUGAGUUGGAAAGGGAAAGAAAUAAAGGUUUUGGGAAGGAGGUUGCUAAUAGAAAAUGAGAGGGGCAAGGGAUUUGAGGUCUCAGUAAGGAGACAGGGAUAUGAGGAGUGGAGAGGUUCAGAAUAGAAAGCCAAAUUAGAGUUUUGGGAUCAACUUUCUUCUCAGUAAAGUAGUCCUGGGUCUUCGUGAGAAGGAAGUAUUCUUCAGGCAUAACUGUUCUACUAUUGGUUACUUCCUCUUUCAUUGUCUUGUGGAACACGAUGAAACAUUUAAGAUGAUAUUCAUCUUUUGAGCCAAUAAAUAAGGGAAAUAGAUAGUUUUUGUGUUUGAGCUAAGUGGAGUAUCUCAGGCCAUUCCAAUGUCUUCAGAGUUUUGGCUGUAAUGCUACCUCUUGAGCAAGUGUAGGUAGAGGUAAGCUCUUGACAGAAAAUUUUAACCCUCUCUUCAAAAUGUUAUAUGCUUAAUUAAAUAACUUCUUAAUUUACCUUAAUAAAUGGCGUAUAAACAUUAAGUUAGAAAAGGUUAGUGUAUAUGAAGCUGUAUAAUCAACAUUGUUUGACUUUUUUUCCUCAGAUUGUAAAACUGAAAACUCAGUAUACUAAUACUCUUGUAUACUGUAUACACUCAGUAUUAGAAAAUGAGUACCUUUGAUUUCUGGAAUCUCGGAUGCCAAAAGAGGUCUCAAUAGAUGAAUUAUACAUAGAUGAUUCAUAGACGAUAGUUUUAGUUUUAUUUAUUUUUCAGGGAAAAACAUUUGACAAUGUUCUUGAUUCAUUUUUUUGGUAUUAAAUUAUGCAGCUAAUCUUAGAGAACCCUGAGUGAUGCCAUAAAAGAUGUUGAUGUGGCCUGCUUAAGGAAAGUGCACGGGAAAGUGGCCAUUUGGAAUAGAUUUGUUAAGAAAAGUUUGAAAUUCUUGGACUCGAACUAAUUUGUUUUCCAUGGAUCCCAUGAGGAUACUUGUAAAAGCAGAUGAUAGGGUCCAGUUGGAUCCUGUGAAUGGCACUAGUUUGCAGUUAUGUUUUCUGGAUCUCUUCCAUAUGUCGCUGACUUCUUUGUAUUUGACCAUGUAUGGACAUACAGAAUUUCAUAGGCCAGAGAAGAAAAGAAGCUUUAUAAACAUUCCUUAUGUGUGUAAAAUACAAAUCUUCAUUUGUCUUAGCAAGUCAAUAAGUAAUUAAGUUGUUGAACUGAUUUUUUUUUUAAACAGGGAAAUAUCUUAAAAUUUAAGCUGUUAGGUUAAAAUGUGUGUUUGGUAUACAGCAUAUUACUGAAGGUAGAAUGGGCUUCAUUUGGUAAUAAAGGAACCAGAAAUAUUUUUAAGUAAAAUUGGGAGAUGAUUCAUGUAGAUUAACUAUAUUUUUGUAUCACUUUCUAGAAUACAGUACUAUGUUGUUUAAAAGAGUAAGUAGGUAAAGGAGUGGUAUAAUUACUUUGGAUAUUUCUGCGUCAGCCACAGUUACCAUGAAUAAAUGAUCUGUCUUUAUAAAGGAGAUGGAAGUGAAUUCAAGAUAUUGAGAUGUUAGAUUUGACUGGGUUGUCCUUUGACUAGAAGAUCACCAGAUAAAGAAAAUGUAAACUUCCUAAACCAGAUAAGAUGAUAUUGUUAAAAAAUUUUUUUGGCCCAGCACUUUGGGAGGCUGAAAUGGGAAGAUUGCUUGAACCCAGGAGUUUGAAGCUGCAGUAAGCUAUGAUCUACCAUGCACUCCAGCCUGGGCAACAGAGUGAGACCCUGACUAAAAAAAAAAAUUUUUUUUCCUUUGGUUCUCAUGAUUUCACACUGAUGAAUCUGAUUGUUUUCUCUGAGUCAUUUUGCCUCUCUCAUGUUAUUAGGGUAACCUGAUAAUAGACAUGUUAUCUGAGUUAUGUGGUAUGUAACAGUGAUCUUCUAAAUGAUGUGCAUCCAUCACUGAUACUGAGGAUGAUCAGAAACUAUUACAACUCUUAUUUAUUGAUCUUUACUUUUAAUCUACAGAUAAAUGAUAAUACAUAUUAAUACUUAAUAUUCAGAUUGCCAAUAGUAUAUAUUUGGUGGGUAAAUAUCUUUUGGAUCUGCAAAAUUUUCACUGAUAGUUUGUAUCAGGAUCAAAGCAGUUUGAAGAACAUUAAUCUAAAAGAUAAGACUUUGGCAUCUCAUUUCUCUAAAAGAUAAGUCAUGCAUGUACACACUCAGGCAAUUUUUUUCAGUUUUAUAAGUUUUAUUCUUGAUAAUAAAAUUCUUUUAACAGAAAACUCUUGAUUGCUAUAGACCUCUGCUGUGUAUUCAGUAGUCACUAGCCACAUGUGGCUAUUUAAGUUAAUUCAAAUUAAAUAAAAUUAAAUAUCAGUUCCUUAUUUGCACUAGUCAGAUUUUAAGGAGUAAGUAGCCACAUGGGCAAGUGGCUACCAUAUUGGACAGUGUGGAUACACAACAAUUCCAUCAUCUCAGAAAGUGUUAUUGGAUAGUGUGGCUACAGACUUUUCUUGCUCAGCAAUCUUAGUCUCCGCAUGUUAGUCUCUUCAUGCAUUAGGUAGCAUCUAUAAAACAUGCCAAAAGGAAAUAGGCUAUCUCUAAAAGUGUCCCAAACUUUUUGUCUUGUAAAUUAGCUUAUCAGCAUACUUGGAGCCUCUUGCCUUAAAAAGGACUUGAUAUAAAUGUGUAUCAGGAGAAAGCCUAUCUUAUGAAGGAAUUAUUCCCUUUUUAUUUGAAUCCAUGUUUGCUUUAUCUUCGGCUCCUGAAAACUGAUACUUUGCAUUUAACAGCAGCAUAUGCCCAGGAUGAAUGAUAAUACAUCUCCUGAUACAGAGCUUGAGGUUACAGAAUAUCUUAAAUUGUUCCAGGAACUGUUGUUAUCAUUUAAGUCCAAUAAUCAGUAAGAUUUCACCCUACCAGAAUACACUUUUUUUUAUUAACUGUCUGGACCUUUGCUGAUUACAUUGUCCGGAAUGUGGAGUAUCGCAUUUGAGAAGAGGAUUGGAUCCUAGCCAUAACAUAAAUAUAAGGGUAAUUACAUCCAUGCUGAGAAAGAUUUAGGAAUGAUAGUAAGUUCAUUUGAGUGAGUGGUUUGGGCCAAACUUGAUAGAGAAUAGUCCAGGAAGACAUUUACUAUAAACAGUAGAUUAAAUGUUCUUGCCUGGUUAAUUACAUUUGAACUCUGUUAAUGACUGAAUCACUCAAACUGCUUAAUUGUAUUAUUAGAUGCACAUUUAAGUUAUGUAUUACAUGUCUUUAGUGGUGAUCAGAAUUUUAUCAGUUCCUCUGUCUUUCUUUAUACCAAGUAUGACUCAUAAACCCAGUAUUAAUUUGCCAAGAGAUUGGCAUACUAUUUGUAUAUAUGCUUUUCUUUCAAAUAAUCUGGAUUCCCAAUGCCCACAAUCAUUGAUCCUAAAGAAAAUGUGAGAGUAGGUAGAUAAACUCAAACAUCCCUACCAUCACCCCUGGUAGGAAAUCACUGGUGUAAUGUAUGAUAUUAACAUCUGCACCAAUUACUCUUAUAGGUGGAACAAUCCAAAGUUUUAAUCAGAGAAGGUGGUGUUCAGUUGCUGCUUACAAUAGUUGAUACCCCAGUAUUUGGAGAUGCAGUGGAUAACAGUAAUUGCUGGCAGCCUGCUAUCAAUUACAUUGAUAGUAAAUUUGAGGACUACCUAAAUGCAGAAUCGCAAGUGAACAGAUGUCAGAUGCCUGGUAACAGGGUGCAGUGUUGUUUAUACUUCAUUGCUCCUUCAGGACAUGGCUCUGUUCACGGAAAGGGCCUGGGAGCUGCAACACCUCAACAGCAACGAGCACACCUGCUACCUAGAACUUGGUUUCUAAAAACCAUCCUCCUCUAAAAGGAAACAGAGCUCUUUGAAGAAAUGGUAAUUUCAAAGCUAGAGCACAGAAAGUAUAAGAUGAGCCCAGAAUAUCUUUUUGUACAAGAAAGUAAGGCAAUGCUCAAAGAAUGAUGGAGACAUGCCCAAAAAAAGCAGAGAAGCCAACUUGAAAAGAUUCCAACAGGCCAAAUAUGGGACAAUUUGAACAUCAGAAUAAAAUGGUGACAGUCACAGAAUUAUAACCCAUUGAAGAAAGGAAUUCAUGACAUCAUAUUAAUAUAAAUAAUAAUUGAAUAUUGAAAUUCGUUAAAGGAAAUGAGAUAUUUAUGUAGUCUUAAGGUAUCUUCUCACAAAUUAUGUAUUACUUACAAAGGGGAAAAGUGCACCUUGACAUGAGAAUCUUGGCAGAACCACUUUAAUCAAGAGGUUUAGUUGAGCAUUAUCAGUAACAGAGUAAAUCAAAAUCAUGAGCCACUUGAUAGAUACAAUGAGAAAAUAAAGCAUCACUUCUGUGACACCCUAUAAAAAAUGAAUCUAAUAAUGAGGAAACAUUAGAAAAAAACCAAACUGAGGGAUAUUCUACAAAUAAAUGGUCCUGUAAUCUUCAAAAAUUUCAAGGUUAUAAAAGUCAAGAAAAACAGACAAUCUUUUCCAAACUCAGGGGAACUAAAGAGGCAUGAAAUCUAAAUGCUUAAUUCUGGAUUUCAUCUUUUUGAUAUAAAGAACAGUAUUGAGACUAUUGAUAAAAUUUGAGUGGGGUCUGAAGAUUCAUUGGUAGUAGUAAGCUCAAUUUAAUUUCCUCACUUUGAUCAUUGUACUCUGGUUUUUUAGAAUGUUCUAGUCAACAGGUAAUAUGAAUUAAACUAAUCGAGGGUGACAGGGCAUUAUAUCAGCCACUUAUCAACAAACAUUUCAGAGAAAAAUAGUUCCUUGUAUUGUUAUUGCAAUUUUCUUUGAGAUUGCCCCCUCCAAAACAGUAAGAACUUUCAAAAACAAACAAAUAUAUCAAGCCACAGAUUCAAAGUGCUAUAAACUCCAUGCAUGAUUAGUUCUCACUCAUAGGUGGGAAUUGAACAAUGAGAACACAUGGACACAGGAAGGGGAACAUCACACACCAGGGC
Molecule: long non-coding RNA, 11198 nt
Filed under: Homo sapiens (human)
Lineage: Eukaryota; Metazoa; Chordata; Mammalia; Primates; Hominidae
Description: non-protein coding lnc-FBXO28-1:12
Source: RNAcentral